This 153-nucleotide ribosomal RNA is filed under the name Steinernema sp. JM-2011. RNAcentral describes it as "partial 18S ribosomal RNA". It matches the Rfam family "Eukaryotic small subunit ribosomal RNA", at positions 1679 to 1831 of the family's 1831-position model. Lineage: Eukaryota; Metazoa; Nematoda; Chromadorea; Rhabditida; Steinernematidae. The record is from RNAcentral.
CUGCCGGGAUGAGUUGUUUCGAGAAAGCGGAGACUGUUGUUUAGAGCGUUUUCGGACGAUCUUAACGGCGAAAACCGCCUUAAUCGAAACGGCUUGAACCGGGCAAAAGUCGUAACAAGGUUUCCGUAGGUGAACCUGCGGAAGGAUCAUUAU